GCUGGGUGUAGUGGCGCAUGCCUAUAAUCCCAGCAGCUCAGGAGGCUGAGACAGGAGACUCUCAAGUUCAAAGCCAGCCUCAGCAAAAGCGAGUUGAUAAGAAACUUAGUGAGACUCUGUUUCUA
Molecule: small RNA, 125 nt
Filed under: Marmota monax (woodchuck)
Lineage: Eukaryota; Metazoa; Chordata; Mammalia; Rodentia; Sciuridae
Source: RNAcentral